CGACAACAUCUUCCCCCUCGCACGAUCCCUCACGUGAAAAAAAUCUAGGGGAAAAAACCCAUCGACCGAAAAACUCUCCCGUCGCGCGCGCGAGGGCCAUGAUCGCACCACACCAAAAAAAGGCAGCUCAGCCCACGUGCGAGAUUCAUCCAACAGCCGACCCACUCGCGCACGUCCCACACCCCUAUCUCCCCCAGCCCCCUCUCGAUCCCAUCUCUCUCCCAAAUUUUUUUGGCAACGCCGGACUCCUCUUUCAUCUCCCAUGGCGACCAUAGGAAAGGGUAGGUAGAUCCAUCUCGCCCACUUCUUCCUGCCGUCGUCAUCGUCCUCGAGUCGACCAUGCUAGCUUCCGCGGCCCGUCGUACUCAUCGCAGGUGGCGGCGGCCAUGGCAAGGGCUCGUUUGGAAGAGCAGGUGGCGUACAAGGUCGCGUCGAGGUCCAACGACUGGAAUAUCGGCUCCGCAGAGAACGCCGUCACAGGUGCGUCGAUCUCAAUUUUCUCCAUUGCCGCUGUCUUCAUUACCUGUGCGCGUAGCAGGUGUGCUCUCACACUCACGAAUUUUCAGUACGCGAUGGGUUCUUUCUAAUUCAGAUCUUGCUUGCCUUAUCGUGAUAUCUUCUUUGCCAUGGUAAGCACACUAGCACAGCAUGGUUCGUUCACCCUCAUAACUUUUGUUAUGACAUUAUUAAUGUUGUUCAGAAAGCAGUUUUAGUGAAGAUCGAAUGGUUUUUAGAUUAAGUAGAAAAUACAAGAGUACUCUUCUGUAGUGUAUUGUUGUUCAACUGAGACAUAUGCAGUGGGUUUGAUGGCCGCAGGAUAAUUAAAGCCAAGGUAAAGACUAUACAUUCACAAUUCCUAUAGUUAUAAACAAGAAAAAAAAGAUAUAGGCAAGUACUAUUGUUUUAGACGCCGGUAAAAUGGACUAGAAUUUCAUGAGCUGUUUAGUCAGCAUGCUACCGCUCAUCGGUGGCGGAGGACCAAAUUUUUUCGAGGUAGGGCAGCCGAUACUACAACACGUGCGACUUCCUCGCUGCUGGCCUCUAGCGCCAGGGCAUGCGCCUCCACCGUCCAGUUUGGCAUCCGGUACCAGCACUCCUGCUGCCUGCUGCUAGCCGCUAGCCCGCCGGGGUUCGUGCGUGGCAUGUGCCUGAGCUCGUGGUUUGUGUUCUGCUGUUCCUGUUCGUACCUUCGUGAUGACUGGUCCGGUACAUCGUGUGUGUGUGUCGUAUGUGCAGCUAUCAGGCAAGGGCAUGACCCAAGUCACGGCCCAACAUCAAAGAGAACUCUUCCUUUCAGUUACUUAUUGCACCUGUCAUCUGAUCGAGCGUGUUUGCCGGAAAUAAAGGUUCCGCCGGUGCUACCACUAAUAUCCUUGUACUGUAGUAACUUCAGUAUUUCUCCCACUUUUUCUGCUACAUGUGUAAAUGUAGUUACAAUUGAGAAAGCAAGAAAUAUUUGUUUUGUGAAAAAAAAAUUGACAUAUCUUUGUUAUCUGGAUAUCAAAUUUAUUGCAAAUUAUUGCUGAAUGCAUCUUCAUUUGAGAAAAUGUGGACGGCCACAGGAGAAACAUAAACUUUGUCAUAUAAAGUUGGAAGUGUUUAACUGCUCAAACUUUCUACAUUGCAAACAAAUAAAGUGAUGCAAGGUAUUCAGAUGUCUACGGUUGAUGAGAAUUUACAUUGAGUUCAGCAUUAAAGUAUUUAAUUGUUGCUUUUGUGAUUGCUACUGUUUCAUGGUUUCAGAAACAUGUCUAUUGUGGACUGUUUCAUAGCUUAUCUUUUCCAAUCUGUUAUCUACAUAUAUCUACCUCAUGUUAAUGCACUAUCAAAAUUGUCUCAUUAAUUCUUGUCACUUUCUCAAGUAAAAAUUAUCCUUUGCCUGGCUUGCCCCUAAUUAUAUAAACCCUGUCAGAAUUCUAAAUCUUAUUUCAUAUGCAGAACUCAAAGAAUUUCAAGAAAGAUCAUUGCUUCAAGGUGGCAGCGGCCACAACAUAAUUGACAUCAAAACUAGAUCUGGCUCCUACAUAUCCGGUCUUGCUCGUCUAAAGGCUCAAAAGCAGUUGACCAUUACCUGUCACAGUAUACAAGACACCUAUCUAAUAUUGGGGAAAAUUCAGCUGAUAUGUUCAUAUGUAAAUCAUACACCCAAUUAGCUACAAUGCUUUCCAAGGCCAGUACCAUACCAACAUUGGAGCCAAAAGAGCAUGUGCCAAAUUGGACACAUACAUACGGUAUGAAAAUUUACGGAGAAGAGAAGGGCCCAUCACUCCAGAGUCUAGGAAAGUUGGGUAACUGUAAUCUUUUUAUGGAAAAAUGCAAAACCAGUCAGCCAUCAACCCUAACAGAGGGGCUAGCGCUCUUUAUCUCUAAUGCAUAAUCCUUUUAUUUGGCGUUGUUGCCAUGCCGCUAUAGCUGGUGUUUUGCUGUUCUCCUUUUCCUGUAACCAGUUGUACUUGGUUUUCUCUAUCCUCAUAUCAAUGAAAAUGCAGCGUUGAUUAUGUUUCAUCAA
This is a non-coding RNA of Triticum urartu, 2509 nucleotides long. The record is from RefSeq and is a predicted model, not a curated record. NCBI's taxonomy places the organism in Eukaryota, Viridiplantae, Streptophyta, Magnoliopsida, Poales, Poaceae.